This is a long non-coding RNA of Telopea speciosissima, 422 nucleotides long. RefSeq lists it as uncharacterized. Lineage: Eukaryota; Viridiplantae; Streptophyta; Magnoliopsida; Proteales; Proteaceae. The record is from RefSeq and is a predicted model, not a curated record. The transcript has 2 exons.
UGUUUGAUAUCACCGAAAUAUUUUGAUUUCGGCAGAAGGCGAAAUGGGGGAGAAAUCUGAAAUUUUGAACCUUGCUAGAUAGAUAAGCCAAGAGUUCUAUGUAAUUCUCUGUGUAUGUUCGAUAAAGUCCCGCCAACCCACCAAAGCUUAUCAGUGAAAUCAAGUAAAGAUGACCAAUUAUAAACAGAUCAGAGUCAAGAGUUUUGAGCAAAAAUAAGUAAAAGAAAGGGGGAGGGGGGAGUAAGUCAUUGAUGAUGAAAGGCCAAUAAAAGAUGUUAAUACAUUCAUAUUAAUUAUGUUCACCGGAAUACGGAAGUAAAGAUUUUCUUUUCUUACUCAUGGAAUAAUACGUGAAUAUCCAAGUCAUUUUCCCGCAGUUUUGGACCUGUACUGUACCAACCGACAACAUGCUCCUUGGCUGA